GAAUCUUGGUCAAUGGGCGCAAGCCUGAACCAGCGACGCCGCGUGAGUGAUGAAGGCCUUCGGGUUGUAAAGCUCUGUGGGGAGGGACGAAAGAGCUCAAUCUAAUAGGUUGAGUAGUUGACGGUACCUCCUUAGCAAGCACCGGCUAACUCUGUGCCCGCAGCCGCGGUAAGACAGAGGGUGCAAACGUUGGUCGGAAGUACUGGGCGUAAAGCGCGUGUAGGCGGGUUUCCAAGUCAGAUGUGAAAUCCCCGGGCUCAACCCGGGAACUGCAUUUGAAACUGGGAGUCUUGAGUAUCGGAGAGGAAAGCGGAAUUCCUGGUGUAGAGGUGAAAUUCGUAGAUAUCAGGAGGAACACCGGUGGCGAAGGCGGCUUUCUGGACGAUAACUGACGCUGAGACGCGAAAGCGUGGGGAGCAAACAGG
This 425-nucleotide ribosomal RNA is filed under the name uncultured bacterium. Its description in RNAcentral is "bacterial SSU rRNA". It matches the Rfam family "Bacterial small subunit ribosomal RNA", at positions 359 to 776 of the family's 1533-position model. The record is from RNAcentral.